AUUGAACGCUGGCGGCAUGCCUUACACAUGCAAGUCGAAUGGUAACAGGUCUUCGGAUGCUGACGAGUGGCGAACGGGUGAGUAAUACAUCGGAACGUGCCCGAUCGUGGGGGAUAACGAAGCGAAAGCUUUGCUAAUACCGCAUACGAUCUACGGAUGAAAGCAGGGGACCGCAAGGCCUUGCGCGAACGGAGCGGCCGAUGGCAGAUUAGGUAGUUGGUGGGAUAAAAGCUUACCAAGCCGACGAUCUGUAGCUGGUCUGAGAGGACGACCAGCCACACUGGGACUGAGACACGGCCCAGACUCCUACGGGAGGCAGCAGUGGGGAAUUUUGGACAAUGGGCGAAAGCCUGAUCCAGUCAUGCCGCGUGCAGGAUGAAGGCCUUCGGGUUGUAAACUGCUUUUGUACGGAACGAAAAGACUCUGGUUAAUACCUGGGGUCCAUGACGGUACCGGAAGAAUAAGCACCGGCUAACUACGUG
Molecule: ribosomal RNA, 482 nt
Filed under: uncultured bacterium
Lineage: Bacteria
Description: partial 16S ribosomal RNA
Rfam family: Bacterial small subunit ribosomal RNA
Source: RNAcentral